AUCUAUUGUAGUUUAUAAAAAAUAUUAUCUUGUGGUGUUAAAGAAGGCAAAAAAUUUUGAUCAUAGAUA
This 69-nucleotide transfer RNA is filed under the name Obama sp. MAP-2014. Its description in RNAcentral is "tRNA-His". Lineage: Eukaryota; Metazoa; Platyhelminthes; Tricladida; Geoplanidae. The record is from RNAcentral.